GUUAAAUUAGUGAGUAGCACGUGAAAAUUUGGAUGUUAUAGAAGAGAUAUCUCUAGUUAAUU
RNAcentral lists this transfer RNA (62 nucleotides) under Oncicola luehei. Its description in RNAcentral is "tRNA-Gln". The record is from RNAcentral. Lineage: Eukaryota; Metazoa; Acanthocephala; Archiacanthocephala; Oligacanthorhynchida; Oligacanthorhynchidae.